This 188-nucleotide ribosomal RNA is filed under the name uncultured bacterium. Its description in RNAcentral is "partial 16S ribosomal RNA". It matches the Rfam family "Bacterial small subunit ribosomal RNA", at positions 338 to 523 of the family's 1533-position model. The record is from RNAcentral.
CCUACGGGAGGCAGCAGUGAGGAAUAUUGGACAAUGGGCGCAAGCCUGAUCCAGCCAUGCCGCGUGCAGGAAGAAGCAUCUAUGGUGUGUAAACUGCUUUUGUACGGGAAGAAACACUCCUACGUGUAGGAGCUUGACGGUACCGUAAGAAUAAGGAUCGGCUAACUCCGUGCCAGCAGCCGCGGUAA